CCUACGGGUGGCAGCAGUGAGGAAUAUUGGUCAAUGGGCGCGAGCCUGAACCAGCCAAGUAGCGUGAAGGAUGACUGCCCUACGGGUUGUAAACUUCUUUUAUAAAGGAAUAAAGUGAGGCACGUGUGCCUUUUUGUAUGUACUUUAUGAAUAAGGAUCGGCUAACUCCGUGCCAGCAGCCGCGGUAAUACGGAGGAUCCGGGCGUUAUCCGGUGUUAUUGGGGUUAAAGGGAGCGUAGAUGGGUUGUUAAGUCAGUUGUGGAAGUUUGCGGCUCAACCGGAAAAUUGCAAUUGAUACUGGCAGCCUUGAGUACAGUUGAGGUAGGCGGAAUUCGUGGUGUAGCGGUGAAAUGCUUAGAUAUCACGAAGAACUCCGAUUGCGAAGGCAGCUUACUAAACUGCCACUGACAUUGAUGCUCGAAAGUGUGGGUAUCAAACAGGAUUAGAUACCCGGGUAGUC
This 460-nucleotide ribosomal RNA is filed under the name uncultured bacterium. RNAcentral describes it as "partial 16S ribosomal RNA". It matches the Rfam family "Bacterial small subunit ribosomal RNA", at positions 338 to 795 of the family's 1533-position model. The record is from RNAcentral.